This 767-nucleotide ribosomal RNA is filed under the name uncultured bacterium. Its description in RNAcentral is "bacterial SSU rRNA". It matches the Rfam family "Bacterial small subunit ribosomal RNA", at positions 28 to 775 of the family's 1533-position model. The record is from RNAcentral.
AUUGAACGCUGGCGGCAGGCCUAACACAUGCAAGUCGAGCGGAAACGAGUUAUCUGAACCUUCGGGGAACGAUAGCGGCGUCGAGCGGCGGACGGGUGAGUAAUGCCUAGGAAAUUGCCCUGAUGUGGGGGAUAACCAUUGGAAACGAUGGCUAAUACCGCAUGAUGCCUACGGGCCAAAGAGGGGGACCUUCGGGCCUCUCGCGUCAGGAUAUGCCUAGGUGGGAUUAGCUAGUUGGUGAGGUAAGGGCUCACCAAGGCGACGAUCCCUAGCUGGUCUGAGAGGAUGAUCAGCCACACUGGAACUGAGACACGGUCCAGACUCCUACGGGAGGCAGCAGUGGGGAAUAUUGCACAAUGGGCGCAAGCCUGAUGCAGCCAUGCCGCGUGUGUGAAGAAGGCCUUCGGGUUGUAAAGCACUUUCAGUCGUGAGGAAGGUGGUAGUGUUAAUAGCACUAUCAUUUGACGUUAGCGACAGAAGAAGCACCGGCUAACUCCGUGCCAGCAGCCGCGGUAAUACGGAGGGUGCGAGCGUUAAUCGGAAUUACUGGGCGUAAAGCGCAUGCAGGUGGUUUGUUAAGUCAGAUGUGAAAGCCCGGGGCUCAACCUCGGAAUUGCAUUUGAAACUGGCAGACUAGAGUACUGUAGAGGGGGGUAGAAUUUCAGGUGUAGCGGUGAAAUGCGUAGAGAUCUGAAGGAAUACCGGUGGCGAAGCGGCCCCCUGGACAGAUACUGACACUCAGAUGCGAAAGCGUGGGGAGCAACAGG